Molecule: ribosomal RNA, 103 nt
Filed under: Lactiplantibacillus plantarum
Lineage: Bacteria; Bacillati; Bacillota; Bacilli; Lactobacillales; Lactobacillaceae
Description: partial 16S ribosomal RNA
Rfam family: Bacterial small subunit ribosomal RNA
Source: RNAcentral
UAAUUUGAGAGUUUGAUCCUGGCUCAGGACGAACGCUGGCGGCGUGCCUAAUACAUGCAAGUCGAACGAACUCUGGUAUUGAUUGGUGCUUGCAUCAUGAUUU